CCCUUGUACACACCGCCCGUCACACCAUGGAAGCAAGCAACACCCGAAGCCGGUGGCCUAACCCGCAAGGGAGGGAGCCGUCGAAGGUGGGGCUCGUGACUGGGGUG
Molecule: ribosomal RNA, 107 nt
Filed under: uncultured bacterium
Lineage: Bacteria
Description: partial 16S ribosomal RNA
Rfam family: Bacterial small subunit ribosomal RNA
Source: RNAcentral